This 464-nucleotide ribosomal RNA is filed under the name uncultured Thauera sp. Its description in RNAcentral is "bacterial SSU rRNA". It matches the Rfam family "Bacterial small subunit ribosomal RNA", at positions 916 to 1381 of the family's 1533-position model. The record is from RNAcentral. Lineage: Bacteria; Pseudomonadati; Pseudomonadota; Betaproteobacteria; Rhodocyclales; Zoogloeaceae.
CGGGACCCGCACAAGCGGUGGAUGAUGUGAUUAAUUCGAUGCAACGCGAAAACCUUACCUACCCUUGACAUGUCUGGAACCUUGGUGAGAGCCGAGGGUGCCUUCGGGAGCCAGAACACAGGUGCUGCAUGGCUGUCGUCAGCUCGUGUCGUGAGAUGUUGGGUUAAGUCCCGCAACGAGCGCAACCCUUGUCACUAGUUGCCAUCAUUUGGUUGGGCACUCUAGUGAGACUGCCGGUGACAAACCGGAGGAAGGUGGGGAUGACGUCAAGUCCUCAUGGCCCUUAUGGGUAGGGCUUCACACGUCAUACAAUGGUCGGUACAGAGGGUUGCCAAGCCGCGAGGUGGAGCCAAUCCCACAAAGCCGGUCGUAGCCCGGAUCGCAGUCUGCAACUCGACUGCGUGAAGUCGGAAUCGCUAGUAAUCGCGGAUCAGCAUGUCGCGGUGAAUACGUUCCCGGGUCUU